AAUAUUAACCCUAAAAGUUACAUUAUACAGCGUAAGUACUUAGAUAUUGUUAUAUAUAUAGGAGUGCCACCACCAUCUUUAAGCAUUUUCUGUUAAUAAAAAGACUAAUUAUUAUUGAUAGUAGUGCGAUACUGUUCACUCUCUGCCAGAUAUAGCAAGAGAGGACAGCCACAGUAGUUUUUGACAACUAUUACUUCACUCUCUCUCUCUCUAUCUUUCUCUCUCUACUGGUCAAAAAAACAAAAACCCACCUCUCUCAUCUCCUUCUUUUUCUCUCUUCUUCAACCUAAGCCUCAUGACAUAUGAGAGAGGACGCCCUAGCUACCUCAUCAUCUCCCUUUAACAAUAUAUAUAUACCUUUUUCCAUGUUAUCCUAAUUCCAAAUUCAACCACAACAGCACAUAUUAUCUUUAUGUAUAUAUAUAUGCAUAUGUAUGUGUUAGCUUGUGGCUUCAUUUCUCCUUCUUCUUCCUUCCUUUAUUAUCUUAUGGAAGAAGAUGAGGAAGAAUACAUAGUUCUUCCUAGUCUUUUUUUUUUCUUUUUUUCUUUUUUAUUAAAAGUAAUUUAAUGUUUAAGUAUUUAUUUUUUUACCAGAUUUGUGUUUGAGAUCAGAGAUCUCCAAUCGCUUUCCCUUCUCUAACUCUCACGAAGAUAGUGACACUUCCCCCCCUGCUUUUACUGAUACCAUCUAAUUCCUCUCUCCGUGAUUUUUGUAACUUCAUCUUUUUUAUUUUAUUUUAUUUUCUUGCCUAUAUUUCUUUUUUAUUAAUUACAUAUUUGUUGUAUAUAAAUAUUAAUUGAUGGAAUAAUUAUUAUUUUAUUAAUUUUCCAUUAUGAAACAAAAAUGAAUCUUCUUACAGCAUUUGGUGUUGUUCAUAUUUUCUUAAUAUUUUUUUUUGCUAAUUAAUUUUAGUUGAACAAAUCAGAUUAGGUCAUGUGAAGAGGCAAAGGAAUAUAUAUGAUCUGUGGAUCAGGUGCUGGAGUAAGUAUUCUUCUAGUCAAUUUGGUAUUUUUCUUUUGAUAUUUUAGCUAUAAUUAUUACAUCUACAUCUGAUUAAUGACAUUUUUCUAGGGUUAGGGUUCAUGCAAAGCAUUAAUCGUUGCUUUGGAACUUGAUUAAUCUUUUCAAGUCUUGGACUGCGGGAAUUAGGUCUAGCUAGCUAGGCUGCAAGCUAGGGUAUAAUAACUUAAUUUAUACUAGUAAUUAAUAAUUAAUAAUAAUAUUUUCUCAAACCCCUUAUCUUCUGGAAUUUGAUUUGGUAUAUUAAUGUGUAAGAGAGAAUUAAUUAAGACCGUACAACACAUUGUCGUACUUGAAAUUAAGCUAGAUUUUCAUCUAUUGUUUUCUUGACAUUAACCAUUCAUUAGAAUACUAUAUAGUUAAUUCUUGUGUAGUAGUUGUAGUAGUACUUUUUGUAAUUUGUGUCUAUAAAUUAAUAUCCCCUUUUAAUUAACAAAAUUUAUUUUAAUAUAUAUAGAUAGAGAGAUUGUUUAAGUGAGCUUCCUUCAGUCCACUCAUGGAUGGGUAAGAGGGUUUGAAUUAUCUGCCGACUCAUUCAUUCAAACACAGUAGAAAAAGGGUCUAAUAUUUACUACUGUGGAUGUGUGAAUGAUGCGGGAGAUAAAAUUUCAUCCUUUUCUUCUCUAUGCUUGGACUGAAGGGAGCUCCCUUUUGCUAUUUUCAUCACUUAUUAUGAAUAUAUAUGUUGUAUAUUCUUCUUUUCUUUCUGGUGAUUCAUACAAUGUGUUUUGUGAUAAUGUUAACGGUAAUGUGUGCUUUGUUUUCCGGUUAGUUCUAUUAAUAAUAUUAGUGAUUAUGUGUGUAACUUGUAAGGCUUUGCAAUAGAUAUUAUUCUCUACUUCUUCACGUACGUACUAGGUUUCAAUUAUUGAUGAUCUUAUACUGUAUUUCACUAGUACGAGUUCAUUUCACUUGCCUGCCGGUUUUUCUUUUCCAAUAUAAGAAAUGUUAUAUUAGAGGUCAUUUCAUUUUGAAGCUACAGUACUACUCGAUACAGUGUGUAUAUAUAUGAUCAAUAAUUGCUAUAGAGAAAAGUCAUGACAGGUUUUUUUUUUCUUUCUCAUUUUACUGUGAAAUUGUUUUGUAGGGAAAACAAAAAACACACGAAAUUUUUCAUUCAUUUCUUUCUUUCACCAGAUCAAUUUUGUUUCUAGUUGAAAAGUCAAAAGAGUUUUACAUUUUUUACCCUUCCCAGCUGGCCAAACGUUUUUUUUCACUAAAUAUCUGCGUCACGGAGAGAAAAGUACUUGUCAUGAUCAUCGUAUUUACGUAUUAAUUUCUUUACGAAAAUAGCAUUGUUUUUCCUCUUUCUCUCUCUUUUUUUUUUCAUCUUGGGUUAUUAUAAUUGUGAUUUAGUAUGAUUAAGAAUAUUAAGUGAAGAGUCCUAUUAUAUUUUACGUACUCAAUUUCUUUGUACAUACUAUUUAUAUUUAUUUAAUGUGAUGCAAAGAACUUAGAUGUUAGGUUACGUCGCUUUCAAUAUAGUUGAUAAAAAUUAUUCUGAGAAGAGCUUAUGAUGAUGAAUCUGAUCAGUAGUUGAUGGCCAAUUUUUAGAGAGAAAAAUUGGAGGGUGCUGGUUGGUUUGCUUGUCAUUAUUCUUUUGGCCAGGUUUCUGUAGUGGCAUAUUUAUAUAUAUAUUAACAUUGUUUAAUUAAAUGUAUGGUUAAUAGUAGUUUAUAGCCCGUGCAAUUUGGUAUCAUAAAGACCGCCCCAUGUCCAUGUCUAGUGGGGCUAAAACGCAGUCUCAGAGGUUGGAACUUGGAGCUAGCCUCAUGGUUUUAUUGGCUUUCACGACACCACCUUUACCUAUUAUAUAUUAUUUUUAUAAUGUAAUAUUAUAAUUAAUACCCUUAAUAUACUAUUUUCAAUUUUCACUCAUUUGAAGAAGAAGAAGAAGAAGAAGAAGAAGAAUAACCUUUUCCACACUGUAUCUAAGAGUUAUUUAAAUAUGUUAUCUUAUACACUCUAAAAACUUGAAAUCGACAUAAUAAUAACGACUACUGCUUGUGUUGACUGUCCCA
Cannabis sativa is the source of this 3042-nucleotide long non-coding RNA. RefSeq lists it as uncharacterized. The transcript has 2 exons. The record is from RefSeq and is a predicted model, not a curated record. Lineage: Eukaryota; Viridiplantae; Streptophyta; Magnoliopsida; Rosales; Cannabaceae.